Molecule: long non-coding RNA, 1297 nt
Filed under: Heterocephalus glaber (naked mole-rat)
Lineage: Eukaryota; Metazoa; Chordata; Mammalia; Rodentia; Bathyergidae
Description: lncRNA (ENSHGLG00100051999.1)
Source: RNAcentral
GAUCCCUGGUACCCCCCCCAAAAAAGAUUGGGUAGGGUCAAAGUGGGAGCUUUAAGGACUGUGCGAUUGAGGACCCAAAAGGAAACUGGAAUUAAAUCUGUUUCUGGCUCUCUUUCUCAGGGAUCCCUAUGGGACGCCUCAUAGAGGGAUUUUGCAAUGAGUGAGAAAUUUGGGAUCCAAAGUCUAAAAUAGCUAAGAAGCCCCAGAAAUGAAAGGAGAUAUCUUGUGGUGGGAAAAGGAAGAUUUGUUAAUAGCCUCUUUUCAGGAAAGAGUUAUUCCAGUGACUUUCCAGCUUCAAAUUUGGAGGCAAAUUUUCCAUCAAAGGAUUAAGUACCAGUAUCUUCGAAUGCUGAUGAAGUGUUACUUAAGUCUCAUCAAUUCACAAUUUCUUAUCAUAUACACUACAUACACAAAUUUUCGAUCUUUCACAGGACAUUAGCAAAAUUAGGCAAACUGGACUAGCAUGACCAAAAAAGAUGUUACAGAGCACACACAAUUCUGACAGGGCAACGAUCAGGAAGUAGUUUUCUUUAGGAAACAAUUCUACUAAAAACAUGGGAAUAGAAGUCAUUUAGAAUAUCCAAGGCAGGGGUCGGGGAUUUAGCUCAGUGGUUUCACCGCCUGCUUUGCAAGUGCAAGGACCCGAGUUCGAUCCUCGGUACCAAAAAACCCCCCAAAAAUCCAAGACAUAUUAAAUGCACGACUGUGACUCCAAAUUACCAUUUAGUAUGCUUUAUAUUACAGGAUAUAAAACUAAUCCCCACCUGUGGAAUGUUAAGCUGACACCCAGGACAGUCAAAGCCUGCCAUAAUUCAAUAUCCCACUAUUUUCUGGUUGUACCAAAAAAUAAACAACCAGCAAAUGAUUUCACGUCUAAAAAAAAAAUCAUUUACACUUAAAAAAUGCGAUGAGGUGGGAUUCCCUCCUUUUUAAAAAUGUUUCUAGAGCUGCUAAAAAACUUGCGUUUACAAAAUAGCUGACAAAAAUAUUCCUCUGGAUUGUACGAGAAGGGAGACAGGGAGCACUGGUAAGACGCGGUGUGCUCAGUCAGACUUGGCUUCUUUUGCUUCCGUUUCUUUGGAGGCUGGGCUCUCCCCGUUUUUAGUUUCUCCGUUUUCCGUGGGUAAAUCUUCCUUAGGUUCUUGAUUAGGCACUUCAGCCUGUUUUCCUUUUGCUCCCCUUUUCCCUUUGGCUUGCCCUUUUUUGUCGGAAGAUUUAUUCUUUCCCGCUUUUUUGGCUUCGUUUCCACUUUUGCAGGAGCAGGUUUAGCCGACAACCUCGCCGAUCUCCUCUUGGG